UAAGGAAUAUUGGUCAAUGGAGGCAACUCUGAACCAGCCAUGCCGCGUGCAGGAAGACUGCCCUAUGGGUUGUAAACUGCUUUUAUCCGGGAAUAAACCUAUCUACGUGUAGAUAGCUGAAUGUUCCGGAAGAAUAAGGAGAGGCUAACUCCGUGC
RNAcentral lists this ribosomal RNA (156 nucleotides) under uncultured bacterium. RNAcentral describes it as "partial 16S ribosomal RNA". It matches the Rfam family "Bacterial small subunit ribosomal RNA", at positions 355 to 508 of the family's 1533-position model. The record is from RNAcentral.